Molecule: ribosomal RNA, 492 nt
Filed under: uncultured bacterium
Lineage: Bacteria
Description: partial 16S ribosomal RNA
Rfam family: Bacterial small subunit ribosomal RNA
Source: RNAcentral
AGUGAACGCUGGCGGUAGGCCUAACACAUGCAAGUCGAACGGCAGCACAGUAAGAGCUUGCUCUUACGGGUGGCGAGUGGCGGACGGGUGAGGAAUACAUCGGAAUCUACUUUUUCGUGGGGGAUAACGUAGGGAAACUUACGCUAAUACCGCAUACGACCUACGGGUGAAAGCAGGGGAUCUUCGGACCUUGCGCGAUUGAAUGAGCCGAUGUCGGAUUAGCUAGUUGGCGGGGUAAAGGCCCACCAAGGCGACGAUCCGUAGCUGGUCUGAGAGGAUGAUCAGCCACACUGGAACUGAGACACAGUCCAGACUCCUACGGGAGGCAGCAGUGGGGAAUAUUGGACAAUGGGCGCAAGCCUGAUCCAGCCAUACCGCGUGGGUGAAGAAGGCCUUCGGGUUGUAAAGCCCUUUUGUUGGGAAAGAAAGGCAGCAGGUUAAUACCCCGCUGUUCUGACGGUACCCAAAGAAUAAGCACCGGCUAACUUCGUG